AACCCGGGCUGGGCGGGGGAGAGGAAGGGGCGGGGCAGGGAGCCCGCCAGAGUGCGGGGUCGCGGUGCGGACCUCGAGCACGAGCCCUAAAGACGCUCAGCACUCGUCGCUUCUCCUAGCAGACCCUGCCCGGCCUGGCGAUGGAGUUUCCGGACCUCGGCGCUCACUGUUCGGAGCCGAGCUGUCAGCGCUUGGAUUUUCUGCCGCUUAAGUGUGAUGCCUGCUCAGGCAUCUUCUGCGCAGACCAUGUGGCCUACGCCCAGCAUCACUGUGGAUCUGCUUACCAAAAGGAUAUCCAGGUACCUGUGUGCCCUCUCUGUAAUGUGCCUGUGCCUGUGGCCAGAGGGGAGCCCCCUGACCGUGCUGUGGGAGAGCACAUUGACAGAGACUGUCGCUCUGAUCCAGCACAGCAAAAACAUCUUCACCAAUAAGUGUGAGCGCGCUGGCUGCCGGCAGCGAGAAAUGAUGAAACUGACCUGUGAACGCUGUAGCCGAAACUUCUGCAUCAAGCACCGGCAUCCACUGGACCAUGAU
Molecule: small RNA, 534 nt
Filed under: Pan troglodytes (chimpanzee)
Lineage: Eukaryota; Metazoa; Chordata; Mammalia; Primates; Hominidae
Description: processed transcript
Source: RNAcentral